This is a small nucleolar RNA of Mastomys coucha (southern multimammate mouse), 133 nucleotides long. The record is from RefSeq and is a predicted model, not a curated record. Lineage: Eukaryota; Metazoa; Chordata; Mammalia; Rodentia; Muridae.
GCACUGCCUUUGAGCCCCCAGCACACCUUCUCGUGGUGCCAGGGGUUAAGCUUCGGUGCCAUAGCACAUUGCUGACACAUAACUGGGGCUGCCUGCCCUUCGCGGGUGGUCCUUUUAACUACUAGCUACAGGC